GACGGAGGAUGCAAGCGUUAUCCGGAAUGAUUGGGCGUAAAGCGUUCGCAGGUGGCUGUUCAAGUCUGCUGUCAAAGACCGGGGCUUAACCCUAGAAAGGCAGUGGAAACUGGACGGCUGGAGUGCAGUAUGGGUAGAGGGAAUUCCCAGUGUAGCGGUGAAAUGCGUAGAGAUUGGGAAGAACACCGGUGGCGAAAGCGCUCUGCUGGACUGCAACUGACACUGAGGGACGAAAGCUAGGGGAGCAAACGGG
RNAcentral lists this ribosomal RNA (253 nucleotides) under uncultured bacterium. Its description in RNAcentral is "partial 16S ribosomal RNA". It matches the Rfam family "Bacterial small subunit ribosomal RNA", at positions 524 to 776 of the family's 1533-position model. The record is from RNAcentral.